CGGUGGAGUGAUUUGUCUGGUUAAUUCCGUUAACGAACGAGACCUUAGCCUACUAAAUAGUUAAACCGAUUUCGAUCGGCUUAAUCUUCUUAGAGGGACUUUGUGCAAAACACAAGGAAGUUUGAGGCAAUAACA
This 135-nucleotide ribosomal RNA is filed under the name uncultured eukaryote. Its description in RNAcentral is "partial 18S ribosomal RNA". It matches the Rfam family "Eukaryotic small subunit ribosomal RNA", at positions 1299 to 1458 of the family's 1831-position model. The record is from RNAcentral.